UUGUGAACUUAACAUACAUUUUGACGUGAAAUACCCAAUAUGUUUCUGUAGAUUUGAUUUUUCAGCGAUGCAGUUGAUGUAUCGCCCCCAGUAGUCAAGUUUCCACAAUGAUAAGUACUUUGACACAUUUUCCAUCCAUCCUACAGCUGGUGUUUAUGCUGAAAUCACUUUUUGGCUUGCUAUCAUUGAAAAACAUGCUUCUUCCAUCUUGAGAUUGAGAGUUUUUCUUUUGUUAGUGUGCUGAUUUUUGUGUGGUACCUAAGAGGACCAAAUGCAUUACAUAAGCAUAUAGAUAUUGCAGCAUAUAUUUUACCUUUCAUGUUGUUAAUUAAAUUGCUCACUCUUCCAUUAUUGUACAAAUUCAUCCGACUAGAUUUUCAAUCGCUUAAUUGAGUUGGUCAGAGUUCUAGAUUGUAUAUUAGAUUACCACUCAUGUACAUGUUUCUUACUGUAACUAAUUUUACUCUACUUGUAGGUUCAAUUGUAAUUAAUGGAAAGAUGAAAAUGUUAGCCACAGAGGCAACCAAAUUUUUAGGCUUAAUAGGUUUUCUCCAUUAGUAAUAUGUACUAUUUUUAUUCACCAGUUUAUGGAACUGAAAAUAAUUUCACUGUAUCUAAUUAAAUUAUGUCAAGCAGCCAUUACUUGGAUUUAUAAGGUUACUCUUCAUCUGCAUUCCACCAUUAUUAGAAAGGUCUUUAACCAUGUGUGUUUUCAUAUCAUCAGAUGUGUCCACGAAAACUGAGUUUGUAGUUCAGCUAGGUGUUCAAUGGUUGCCCUGGUUGGCAGUGCCACCUUAGAUUCUGCACAACUUGAUAGCAAAUUUAUAAUCACUGUAUUUUGUAUUGUCAGGUUCUGGAUAUCGGAAACAAUCAAUGUAGCAAUGGAUGCAAGAAAUGUCUAUUGAAGUUCGUUUUCACACCCUUGAAUAAGUAAGUGGACAAGACAUGCUAACAAGUCUGAAAAAGCAUUUGGGGAAUGAGAAAGAACUACUUCUCUUAAAUCUACAACUGAGUGGUAUUUCCUUUUGGUAGUGCAAGUACCUGUUGUGGCCAUAUUUCAUUUGUGCUGUUGCGGACCAUGUCUCGAGAAUGUCCAUGAGCUGCUUAUGUAGAUGUUGCUUUUGCUGUUAGUACCUUCUAUUGCUCUUCAUGGAACGUUUUUCUAUU
Long non-coding RNA from Lolium rigidum, 1167 nucleotides. RefSeq lists it as uncharacterized. The record is from RefSeq and is a predicted model, not a curated record. Lineage: Eukaryota; Viridiplantae; Streptophyta; Magnoliopsida; Poales; Poaceae. The transcript has 3 exons.